Spinacia oleracea (spinach) is the source of this 3403-nucleotide RNA transcript. RefSeq lists it as uncharacterized. Lineage: Eukaryota; Viridiplantae; Streptophyta; Magnoliopsida; Caryophyllales; Amaranthaceae. The transcript is spliced from 12 exons. The record is from RefSeq and is a predicted model, not a curated record.
AAUUAAAAGAAAACUCUUCACUUCUCCAGAACCUUCAUACACUACCAUUUCCCAGGAACCCUAGUUUCCCUUCCAGUAAUUUAUCUCUUUUCACUAUUCUUCAAAUCACUGUGUUUCAUCCUGUCGCAAGUUCUCUUUCAAUUUCUCUGUUAUCAAAUCACUGAAUUUCACUGGUUGAAGAAGCUAUACGGAUAGAGUUUCGUCUUCUCAAAGAAUUUUCAUCCUCACAAUUGCUGGUGUUUAAUUAAGCGCCUCUGAAUUGAAGUUGCGAGACCCAUUUCUCUUGAUAUUACUGAUAAAGAGAGAAACCAUAUUUUACUUUGAAGCUUUUCAGACAUUCCGAUAUUGUUAAAAAUUUCAAGAGAGCAUCAGGUUUAUAUUAAUAGUCAACGAAAAGGAAACAAAUGGGCUCGUGCACAACAUCAUAGCCAUGAGUUUGCUAAUUGGUUGAGAGAAAAGACAAUCAAGGAAAAUGUUCCUGAUCAUAUUUUCUGGUUAGCGAAGGGGCCUAGUCCUACUGCUAAAAGAUACAAAGGAUAUUAUGUCAAUGGUUAUAAUUUUUACACCAAAUCACGUGAUGCUAGAUGUAAGACACAAAAUAGUGGAGUUAUUCUUUCAGCUUCAACUCCUAGUUUUGCAAGCUCUAGAGAUAAAUAUCCUAUCAUAGGAGAGGUGACCUAUUAUGGUGCAAUAUUAGAAAUAAUUGAACUUGAUUAUUGGUCCAAGUUCAAGGUUGUUUUGUUUAAGUGUGAGUGGUAUCAAGUGGAAAAAGAUAACAAGUGUGGGCUUACCUGUGUUAAUGUAAAUAAGUUUUGUUCUAUGAAUGAUCCUUAUGUCAUGCCAUCCCAAGUACAUCAAGUCUUUUAUAUUCCAGAUGGGGAUGUACCUGGCCUGCAUUAUGUUAUGAGCAAAGUUCCAAGAGAUACAUAUGAUUUUGAUGAUAGUGUAAAUGAUGUGAACUCUUUUUUGGCACAAGUUGAUGACGAGGACAUUAGUUGGGCUAGGGAAGACAUACCUCCUACAAUGGUUGAUGCAAGUACAAAUCUAGGUGAUAACGUAGGUGGUAAAAGUGAAGAUGAUUCGGAUUUUGAUGACACUUUGUGGGACUGGAUGCAAGCAGAGGAAGAUUUCGAAAUUUACAAUGAUGAAUGAUGCAUUGAUACAGUCAAGAUUUGUUUGAGAACUUGUGAGAUUUUUGUUCUAGUCGUUGCAACUUUGUUCAAACACUUCUAAUCAAAUUAUGGUUAUCGAUGGGAAAAAUAAGGAAAGAGCAAUGUGGAGAAUCCUGUAAUGAGUAUGAAAGAAUGAGAAUACUAAGAAUUCAAGAGAACAGAUUAAGGUUACAAAAGUCAGGUAUAAAGGAAAUUUGUAAGUCAUUGACGAACCUUGUGGAUAGCAAAAAAAAAGGGAGUGAGGAAAAAAGUAAGAAAGUGGCUUCUAUUACGAAGAGAGAUCCAGAGUACUGUCCAUAUGGUAAUGAUGAAUCCAAUGAUGAAGAAGAUACAAGUGUUGGAACUUUUCAAAAGAUUACUCGAGGCAAUGGUCGAGGGAGUAAAUUACAAUUUAUUCCACCAGGGUCCAUGAAGAAUUUUGCUUCUAGUAUAAAGCAACGAGAUCGUAAUAUUCAGAACUUAUUAUCCAGAAGGAUGCAAAAUGACCAAGAAGGACAAUUUAUUAGAGAAAACGUUGCUAAAAAAAGACAUGGACUUUAGCUGAUGCCAUUUUAUAGAAAAAAGCAGCACAAAAAGAAGGUCAAGCAGUCCAACACAUUGAAAUGUAAUCACAACUAUCAAGACGGGAAAAAUUAGGCGGUCAAGAUGCAGAUCCUCAUACUAGGCUUGGUGAUCAUGGAGAAGAUUACAUACUUGAUGACAUUCCUUAUAACUAUGAGGAAGAUGAAAACGAGAAUGAACAAUUACUUGGAUAUGGUGAUGAGUUCGUUGAGAGUGAAAAUGAAAGUGAGAAUGUGGGAUUAGAGAGUAGAGAUUUAGAGAUGGAGGUGAAUCCCGAAGAGAAAAAAAGAGGGCCCACAAUGAUGCAUCACGUGCACACACGUCCAUUUGAGAAACGGAAGGCUAUUGUUUUAAAUGAUCUUGGACAACCCAUUGGGCCAGUAUCCGAGGACGAUGACGUUGUUGGAGAAUUUUCUCGUUUUUUAGGUACAAUAGCUCGUGAUAAUUCAUAUGCUCCACUAACUUUUAAAACUUGGUCUAAAGUUCCUAACAAAGAAAAGAUGUGGGAAUAUGUGUUGAUGAAAUACAUUGUACCUGUUGAAGGUAAGGACUGGGUAUUGAAGACUAUCAGAGACGCAUGGAGGGUACAUAAAUGCAGAAUUAAGAAAAAACAUUACUAUAGGUGGAAGAAUGACAAAGAAAGGUGGAAACAUCGACCUAAGCAAAUUCCUGACAAUGAGUUCUUGAAAUUAUUGGUUAUGUGGAAAAAUAAAAAUGAGCAGUUACGGUGUUUGCGUAAUAAGGAACGUCGUUUGUCUCAAAAGAACAUGCAUACAGCUGGUCCAAAAGGCUUUGCGAGGAUACGUGAAGAAAUGAGAAAUGAACAUCCAAACAAAGAGCUUCCAUCCCUAGCUGAAGUGUUUGAACGUACUCGCAAAAGAAAAGAGGGAAAAGUGUAUAAAGAUUCAUAUGAUGAUACAUCAAAAAAGAUUGAAGCAAUGAAAAAUUAUGUUCCUCCCAACGAUGGAAGUGGACCUACUGAUGCAUUUUUGGAUACCAUGGGUAAGGAGUAUGAUGGACGUUGAGAAUAUAUGGCAGGGGUGGGACCAAUAAAAAGUUAAAGGAGGCAUAUCGUAGUGACACGUCAUAUGUAGUGGAUGGGGAAUUCAUGAAAUCACUUAAAUCUAGAGUUGUUGAAGAUGUUCAGGAAGAUCUGGAAAAUGAGAUGACAAAGUUAAAUGAUAUGCGAAAAGAUCUAGAAGAAGAGAAUUUAAGAAAAAAAGCGGAGCUCGAAGACAUACAAAGAGAGAUUGAUAGACAAAGGGACACCUUAUUUGAAGAAGUGAUGCGAAAGAUUAUAGGAAGGCUUCCUCCAGAUAUAGCUAGACAAUAUUUGUCAUGACUCAUGAGGUAUUUGGAUGCAAUAUAAUGUGGAAUGGAUGGCAUGCUUGUUUCAAUGGAUAACAUAUCAAUGCGUCAUUUUUUCCCAUCGACAUUUUGUAAAUACUUUUUGCAUCUUCAAGUUGAAAAUAGUGUAGUUUGUAGCUUUGUGUUUCCGGUCCGGGAGAGAUUUGUUUAUGAGCCCGUUAUUCUUAACAUUCUAGCGGUGGAAUGUUCGAUAUGGUAGAGGGAAAUUAUGCCAUAGUUGUCCCUAAUGUUGUUUGGUACUAAACGAAUGCUUUGAGAAGUCAAUUAAGUUUUAAACAUAGCAGGUGAAUAUUUAAUCUUAA